Molecule: transfer RNA, 77 nt
Filed under: Planctomycetota bacterium
Lineage: Bacteria; Pseudomonadati; Planctomycetota
Description: Planctomycetes bacterium (sediment metagenome) tRNA-Val
Rfam family: tRNA
About the family: Transfer RNA (tRNA) molecules are approximately 80 nucleotides in length. Their secondary structure includes four short double-helical elements and three loops (D, anti-codon, and T loops).
Source: RNAcentral
GGGCGAUUAGCUCAGUUGGCUAGAGCGUUAGCUCGACAAGCUAAAGGUCACUGGUUCGAAUCCAGUAUCGCCCACCA